Molecule: ribosomal RNA, 1195 nt
Filed under: Shigella sonnei
Lineage: Bacteria; Pseudomonadati; Pseudomonadota; Gammaproteobacteria; Enterobacterales; Enterobacteriaceae
Description: bacterial SSU rRNA
Rfam family: Bacterial small subunit ribosomal RNA
Source: RNAcentral
UUUGGGCGGCCUACACAUGCAAGUCGAACGGUAACAGGAAGCAAGCUUGCUGCUUCGCUGACGAGUGGCGGACGGGUGAGUAAUGUCUGGGAAACUGCCUGAUGGAGGGGGAUAACUACUGGAAACGGUAGCUAAUACCGCAUAACGUCGCAAGACCAAAGAGGGGGACCUUCGGGCCUCUUGCCAUCGGAUGUGCCCAGAUGGGAUUAGCUAGUAGGUGGGGUAACGGCUCACCUAGGCGACGAUCCCUAGCUGGUCUGAGAGGAUGACCAGCCACACUGGAACUGAGACACGGUCCAGACUCCUACGGGAGGCAGCAGUGGGGAAUAUUGCACAAUGGGCGCAAGCCUGAUGCAGCCAUGCCGCGUGUAUGAAGAAGGCCUUCGGGUUGUAAAGUACUUUCAGCGGGGAGGAAGGGAGUAAAGUUAAUACCUUUGCUCAUUGACGUUACCCGCAGAAGAAGCACCGGCUAACUCCGUGCCAGCAGCCGCGGUAAUACGGAGGGUGCAAGCGUUAAUCGGAAUUACUGGGCGUAAAGCGCACGCAGGCGGUUUGUUAAGUCAGAUGUGAAAUCCCCGGGCUCAACCUGGGAACUGCAUCUGAUACUGGCAAGCUUGAGUCUCGUAGAGGGGGGUAGAAUUCCAGGUGUAGCGGUGAAAUGCGUAGAGAUCUGGAGGAAUACCGGUGGCGAAGGCGGCCCCCUGGACGAAGACUGACGCUCAGGUGCGAAAGCGUGGGGAGCAAACAGGAUUAGAUACCCUGGUAGUCCACGCCGUAAACGAUGUCGACUUGGAGGUUGUGCCCUUGAGGCGUGGCUUCCGGAGCUAACGCGUUAAGUCGACCGCCUGGGGAGUACGGCCGCAAGGUUAAAACUCAAAUGAAUUGACGGGGGCCCGCACAAGCGGUGGAGCAUGUGGUUUAAUCGAUGCAACGCGAAGAACCUUACUGGGCUUGACAUCCACGGAAGUUUUCAGAAAUAAGAAGUGCCUUCGGGAACCGGAGACAGGAGCUGCUUGGCUGUCCUCACCUCCGGUUGGGAAAGGUGGGUUAAUCCCGCACGAACCCAACCCUUUUCCUUUUGUGCCGGGGGCCGCCGGGAAACCAAAGAAAAACGCCCCCGGAUAAAAAUAGAGAAGGGGGGGGGAAGGCCAAUCUUCUUUGGCCCUUUACCCGGGCUCCCCCGGUUAAUGGGCGU